This is a long non-coding RNA of Dreissena polymorpha, 325 nucleotides long. RefSeq lists it as uncharacterized. The record is from RefSeq and is a predicted model, not a curated record. The transcript has 2 exons. NCBI's taxonomy places the organism in Eukaryota, Metazoa, Mollusca, Bivalvia, Myida, Dreissenidae.
UUAUGAUAGUUAGUAAGUGUUGCAAGUAUGAAAGCAAUAGCUUUGAUACUUAAGGUAUAAAAUGGACCUAAACAUAAAACUUAACCAAAAUUUUCAAUUUUCUAAGAGUAAAAAGGGCACAUAAUUCUGUCAAAAUGCACGCCAGAUUAUCUAACUUUGCCUGCCCAGUCCCCUCAUGAUAGUAAGUAAGUGUACCAAGUUUGAAUGCAAUAGCAUUGAUACUUUCUGAGAAAAGUGGACCUAAACGCAAAACUUAACCGGACGCCGACGCCAACGCCAACGCCGACGCCGACGCCGACGCCAAGGUGAUGACAAUAGCUCAUAA